Molecule: ribosomal RNA, 492 nt
Filed under: uncultured bacterium
Lineage: Bacteria
Description: partial 16S ribosomal RNA
Rfam family: Bacterial small subunit ribosomal RNA
Source: RNAcentral
AGUGAACGCUGGCGGUAGGCCUAACACAUGCAAGUCGAACGGCAGCACAGUAAGAGCUUGCUCUUACGGGUGGCGAGUGGCGGACGGGUGAGGAAUACAUCGGAAUCUACUUUUUCGUGGGGGAUAAAGUAGGGAAACUUACGCUAAUACUGCAUACGACCUACGGGUGAAAUCAGGGGAUCUUCGGACCUUGCGCGAUUGAAUGAGCCGAUGUCGGAUUAGCUAGUUGGCGGGGUAAAGGCCCACCAAGGCGACGAUCCGUAGCUGGUCUGAGAGGAUGAUCAGCCACACUGGAACUGAGACACGGUCCAGACUCCUACGGGAGGCAGCAGUGGGGAAUAUUGGACAAUGGGCGCAAGCCUGAUCCAGCCAUGCCGCGUGGGUGAAGAAGGUCUUCGGGUUGUAAAGCCCUUUUGGUGGGAAAGAAAAGCAGCAGGUUAAUACCCCGCUGUUCUGACGGUACCCAAAGAAUAAGCACCGGCUAACUUCGUG